This 76-nucleotide transfer RNA is filed under the name Priestia megaterium. Its description in RNAcentral is "Bacillus megaterium tRNA-Val". It matches the Rfam family "tRNA". From Rfam's summary of the family: Transfer RNA (tRNA) molecules are approximately 80 nucleotides in length. RNAcentral also lists the same sequence under 6 other names. Lineage: Bacteria; Bacillati; Bacillota; Bacilli; Caryophanales; Bacillaceae. The record is from RNAcentral.
GGAGGAUUAGCUCAGCUGGGAGAGCACCUGCCUUACAAGCAGGGGGUCGGCGGUUCAAUCCCGUCAUCCUCCACCA